This is a long non-coding RNA of Nomia melanderi (Alkali bee), 741 nucleotides long. RefSeq lists it as uncharacterized. The record is from RefSeq and is a predicted model, not a curated record. Lineage: Eukaryota; Metazoa; Arthropoda; Insecta; Hymenoptera; Halictidae.
UUUUGCAUAGAUACUUGUUUCUGUAUUUCAGGAAUCUCCUUUGUUUGUAUAAUUAAUUGUCCAAGCACUUUGCAAGAGAUAUUCAACUCUUGUGGAACACUAUGAAUACUUUCUAAUACUUGUGUGGCUUUUGACAUCCAUAGGAUGCUAUAUUUUAAAAGUAUAUCUUUUGAACAUUGUGACAAACUCUUAUCUAAAAUUACUAAACCAUUAUAUCUUGUGUGAGCUCGAUUUAAGUAAUUAUUAAUAGUUGAUAUAAUUACACUUUGUGCUUCGUCAACCUAAAAUAAAAAUAAUAUAAUUAAAGAUGUUAAAUUAAUUUUUUAACUGAAAAUAGUAAAAUUAUGUUAAAAGUUAUUGAGAAUCUAAGAUCCUAAACUAAGAAGGUUUCCAUAAAUCGUACAUUUAUUAUUAGAGUUAUGUACAGUCAGAGCUUAACAAACUCCGUGAAUCUUUUACGCAACGCGAUUGGCCUCAAUCGCAAAAGGAAUUAUUAUGUAAUUUUGUGGUACACUCGGUGGUGACGAAUUUAUACAGCAGGGAUCCUUAAUGGAAGGGAAGUAAAAGCAAAAAUGGGAAAGUGAAAAUGUAAAAAUUAAAAAAUUCUUUAGAAAAUUAAUAUUCUUAAGUAAAAACAUGUGUACACUCUGUUUAUUAAUUAUGCAUACAAAGAAAAGUGCAAAAAAGUGAACAAUAUUAUAACAUGUAUGAAUGGUAUAUUGAAAAAUACAAAAUUUUAUA